GACGAACGCUGGCGGCGUGCUUAACACAUGCAAGUCGAGCGGUAAGGCCCUUUCGGGGGUACGACGAGCGGCGAACGGGUGGAGUAACACGUGGGUGACCUGCUCUCAGCUCUGGGAUAAGCCUGGGAAACUGGGUCUAAUACCGGAUAUGACUCCAUGACGCAUGUUGUGGGGUGGAAAGCCUUGUGCGGCUGAGGAUGGGCCCGCGGCCUAUCAGCUUGUUGGGGGGGUGA
Molecule: ribosomal RNA, 233 nt
Filed under: uncultured bacterium
Lineage: Bacteria
Description: partial 16S ribosomal RNA
Rfam family: Bacterial small subunit ribosomal RNA
Source: RNAcentral